UUCAAUGAUGAAAAUUUGGAAUAGGAAGUGCCGUCAGAUGCGAAAACUGACGAUUUUUUUCUCAUCCAUUUUUCUGAGU
This 79-nucleotide small nucleolar RNA is filed under the name Gouania willdenowi (blunt-snouted clingfish). RNAcentral's name for it is "Small nucleolar RNA SNORD49 (ENSGWIG00000004124.1)". It matches the Rfam family "Small nucleolar RNA SNORD49". Rfam says of the family: U49 belongs to the C/D class of snoRNA which contain the C (UGAUGA) and D (CUGA) box motifs. Most of the members of the box C/D family function in directing site-specific 2'-O-methylation of substrate RNAs. The record is from Rfam by way of RNAcentral. Lineage: Eukaryota; Metazoa; Chordata; Actinopteri; Blenniiformes; Gobiesocidae.